GUGUGUUGUAAAGAUCGCGAAUGAAAACAAAUGAAAAAGAAAAGCUUACAGCAGCAUGAUCGUGACUGUCAUGUUAGCCUGAUGGGACCAAACUUCCUCUGUACAUCUGGAAAAAGGGGGGUCGUCUUAUAAUCAGGGUCGUCUUAUAUUCGGGACAAUACGGCCACCUGGUGCCACCACAUGGCAAGAGCAGACGGGCUGUCACCGCAGAACAGACACUCUGAGACAUGGGCCUGUAAUUGGACAUGAGACGGAUGGUGACAGCCACUUUCCAACUUCCUCCCUCCAUCUUUCUCUGUUCGCUGUGGGCACUUCCUACCGGGUUACCAGGACCUGAACUACUGACACCAGGUGCGGGAUGUCAACCGGGAGCGUUAGCCUGUCUCAAAUCUCCAGUGACAUCAUAAAACACAGCGGCACGAUGAGAUGGCUCAUGCAGAGGAAGUCAAUGUGCUGAUCAAAAAACACAGAUGCAUGUG
Molecule: long non-coding RNA, 479 nt
Organism: Onychostoma macrolepis
Lineage: Eukaryota; Metazoa; Chordata; Actinopteri; Cypriniformes; Cyprinidae
Exons: 3
Source: RefSeq, a predicted model, not a curated record